UACCCAACAAUCUACAAUCGAUAUUUUUGUCAACGAGAUAAAAAUUGCGAUAUUUGCACAUUUGUCAAACAGGUUUUAAAAGGUACCAGUCAAUCAACAAUCAUUGCAUGUCAACAUACGGAAUAAUCUAAAUAAUCGCCAUACCACCGGCCGGACUUAAAAUAUCUAUUCUCCCUGUACCAGCUUUAGCACUAUUAAAUGCACCGUGCUGAAUAUGCAGGAUUAAAGAUUAUACAGGGGUUGCCAACACCAGGGUGCAGUCACAGAGUUGAUCCGGGUGGUGGAAAACUGACAGCUGGCAUUUGACGAAAAGGCCACGUCACGUCUGAAGCGGUUACUGACGUUUCUGUAAUGUGACACUGGACACGCGCUGUGGCGUAGGGGUCUAUGUAUAUAUAAACUGCAAACAGACACGAAGCUUUAAAACACCACCUGUGAGGAAAAAAGUGCGACAAAAAGUAUGAAUCUGGUUCUUAUCCUAACGCUGUGUAUCGCUGGUCCAACCCUGGCCUCAGCUGC
Lingula anatina is the source of this 519-nucleotide long non-coding RNA. NCBI's taxonomy places the organism in Eukaryota, Metazoa, Brachiopoda, Lingulata, Lingulida, Lingulidae. The record is from RefSeq and is a predicted model, not a curated record.